GACAGAGGUGGCAAGCGUUGUUCGGAUUUACUGGGCGUAAAGCGCGUGUAGGCGGUUUGGUAAGUCAGGCGUGAAAUCCUAUAGCUUAACUAUAGAACUGCGUUUGAUACUGCCUUACUUGAGUGCGGGAGAGGAGAGUGGAAUUCCCGGUGUAGCGGUGAAAUGCGUAGAUAUCGGGAAGAACACCGGUGGCGAAGGCGACUCUCUGGACCGCAACUGACGCUGAGACGCGAAAGCGUGGGGAGCAAACAGG
This 253-nucleotide ribosomal RNA is filed under the name uncultured bacterium. Its description in RNAcentral is "partial 16S ribosomal RNA". It matches the Rfam family "Bacterial small subunit ribosomal RNA", at positions 524 to 776 of the family's 1533-position model. The record is from RNAcentral.